RNAcentral lists this microRNA precursor (72 nucleotides) under Bos taurus (domestic cattle). RNAcentral describes it as "microRNA bta-mir-2371 precursor". Lineage: Eukaryota; Metazoa; Chordata; Mammalia; Artiodactyla; Bovidae. The record is from miRBase by way of RNAcentral.
UAACCAAUUAAUUUCAUAGAAUAUGGAUGGUAUUACACCAAAUGCUAUAGUUUUGUGUGGUUUUUGGGGUUA